Molecule: long non-coding RNA, 1235 nt
Filed under: Callithrix jacchus (white-tufted-ear marmoset)
Lineage: Eukaryota; Metazoa; Chordata; Mammalia; Primates; Cebidae
Description: lncRNA (ENSCJAG00000083219.1)
Source: RNAcentral
AUCUUGGCCAGUCUGGUCUCGAUGUCCUGAUCUCAGGUGAUAUGGCCAGCUCAGGCUCCCAAUGGGUGGGGGAUUAAAAACAUUAGCCACCAAAGUGGGGCUGCUUAUUUAUUGAUUUAUUUAGAGACAGACUUGCAUUUAUUUAUUUACUUAUUUAUUUGCUGAUGUACUUUUGGAGAAGCAGGUCGAAUUCACUUUAUUUAUUUGGAGGCAGACUUCUAUUUAUGUAUUUAUCUAGCUAUCUAAUUAUUUAGAGGCAGGCUCACAUUUACUCAUUUGUUUUAUUGAGACCCAGGCUCAUGACAUUUUUUUAAUACUUAUGUAUAUGUGUGCAGGCUUGCAUUUAUCAGUUUUCUUAACUGUCUGUAUAAUGAUUUAGAGGCAGUCUUGCAUUUAUUUAUUUAUUUAUUUGCUUAUUUAUUUUAGAGGGAGUCUUGCUCUGUCACCAGGCUGGAGUGCACUGGCCCAUUUUUGGCUUCCUGCAACCUCCGCUUCCUGGAUUCAAGCAAUUCUUCCUCCUAUGCCUCUGGAGGAUCUGGGACCACAGUCCCCUUGUAGGUCACCCAUGGGGAAUUGCCUAGGCCCCAGGGCUGGCCUCAUUUGUGCCUGGUGCCAGGAGGCAGUGGCGUCAUGUUGUGAGACUCAGUCUGUGGCAGCUGCAAACACCAGCAUCCACUACUGCAGAGCCUGCCAUGUUACAUCCAGGAGUGGUGGAGGUCCAGGACGUGCAGACCAUCAAGUCAAAGCAGCACAAAGGUUUGGCUGGUCGUGUCAGGAGCUGGGUACAAAAAAAACGGAGGCGUAAGAAAAUUUGCCCCAAUGAAAAUGAAGCUCCUGGUCAAGAUGCAAAGGAGUGUACAACUGAAAAGCUUCAGGAGGAGACGUCACCUGACAUAGAAAAUGCUACAGGUGAAUAUCACCACACUCCUGCUGAUGACUCAGAAGAGUGUACACUUGGCAAUGAGGAGGAGGUGGUGGCCUCUGACACGGAGAAGCCUGCGGCCCAGCAUGACCGCCGUCCUGUUGAGGUCCUACAGGGCCUCAUUUUAGAAGGCAUUGAAGAAGAUGAGAUGCCCCACGACCUGGAGAAGCCUGCGGCCCAGCAUGACCGCCGUUUUGUUGAGGUCAUACAGGACCUUAUCUUAGAAGACGUUGAAGAUGUUGAGAUGCCCCUUGAUGUGGACACAGUGACGGCCUCAGUUGUCUGCCGUCGGUGGAUCUGGGACGUGCUGUGA